ACGGGUGAGUAAUGCCUAGGAAUCUGCCUGAUAGUGGGGGAUAACGUUCGGAAACGGACGCUAAUACCGCAUACGUCCUACGGGAGAAAGCAGGGGACCUUCGGGCCUUGCGCUAUCAGAUGAGCCUAGGUCGGAUUAGCUAGUUGGUGAGGUAAUGGCUCACCAAGGCGACGAUCCGUAACUGGUCUGAGAGGGUGAUCAGUCACACUGGAACUGAGACACGGUCCAGACUCCUACGGGAGGCAGCAGUGGGGAAUAUUGGACAAUGGGCGAAAGCCUGAUCCAGCCAUGCCGCGUGUGUGAAGAAGGUCUUCGGAUUGUAAAGCACUUUAAGUUGGGAGGAAGGGCAUUAACCUAAUACGUUAGUGUUUUGACGUUACCGACAGAAUAAGCACCGGCUAACUCUGUGCCAGCAGCCGCGGUAAUACAGAGGGUGCAAGCGUUAAUCGGAAUUACUGGGCGUAAAGCGCGCGUAGGUGGUUUGUUAAGUUGGAUGUGAAAUCCCCGGGCUCAACCUGGGAACUGCAUUCAAAACUGACUGACUAGAGUAUGGUAGAGGGUGGUGGAAUUUCCUGUGUAGCGGUGA
Molecule: ribosomal RNA, 586 nt
Filed under: uncultured Pseudomonas sp.
Lineage: Bacteria; Pseudomonadati; Pseudomonadota; Gammaproteobacteria; Pseudomonadales; Pseudomonadaceae
Description: bacterial SSU rRNA
Rfam family: Bacterial small subunit ribosomal RNA
Source: RNAcentral